Long non-coding RNA from Lagopus muta (rock ptarmigan), 1018 nucleotides. RefSeq lists it as uncharacterized. NCBI's taxonomy places the organism in Eukaryota, Metazoa, Chordata, Aves, Galliformes, Phasianidae. The record is from RefSeq and is a predicted model, not a curated record. The transcript has 8 exons.
CUGCCUCCUUGGAAGUAUUGGGAGUGAGUUCUGCCCUUUGGAAUGGGGUCUGUCAGCAGAAGGAGCAGCAACUGCACCUGGAGAUUGCUUCCUUUAGAGCGUGGGGUGAACCCUUGAAACUGGGACUGUGACCUUUCCUGUUUUUGGGGCAUCCUGACCACAUUGAAGUGCUGGCAGAUGUAAGGGCAGCAUUGAUCUCUGGAGACUGUCUCCUGUGGAGCAGGGGGACUUCACCUGACUGCCUCGACUUCUCAAAUACCACUGAGAGUGGCUCGGUGACUGCAGCGGUGAAUUCCCUCAGGGCUCUGGGACUCGUCUCAUCAGGACCCAAAGACUCCUGGAUGUCAGGUUCUCAGGUGGCUGCGGAGUUGCAGUGCUCCCGAGUGCCGUAACGACUGCAUGGAGAUGCGUGGCUCUUCAUGGGAACAGCAAGGAACCGGAAUCUGCAUUUCCUGGAAUGCCCCAGAGCCUCGCUUUGCUGGCUGGUAAUUGUCUGCCCAGCAGGUGGCAGCAGAGCUGCGUUGCUCCUGAGCACUUUAAGGACAGCACGGAGAUGCGCGGCUCUUCAUGGCAGCAGCAGAAACUGGAAUCUGCAUUUCCUGGAAUGCCCCGGAACCUCGCUUUGCUGGCCGGUAAUUGUCUGCCCAGCAGGUGAAGAUGCCUUCGAUGCUUCCAGUUGAUGGCUUCCCCCCUGCGAUGCCAUCGUCUUUCCAGUCCUCCCGCACUCACCGCCUGCUCGGUUCAGUCCAGCCGUUACCUGAAUCCCUGCUCCGUUCCCUUUCCUGAGUGCUUUAAGGACAGCAUGGAGAUGUGCGGCUCUUGAUGACAGCAGCAGGAACCGGAAUCUGCAUUUCCUGGAACGCCCUGGAACCCCGCUUUGCUGCCUGGUAAUUGUCUGCCCAGCAGGUGAAGAUGCCUUCGAUGCUUCCAGUUGAUGACUUCCCCCCUGCGAUGCCAUUGGCUUUCCUGGCCUCCCACAGUCACCGCCAGCUCAGUUCAGUUGAGCUGUUACCCGAAU